CGCCUCUUGAAUAAGUAUAAGAGGUCCAGCCUGCCCAGUGACUCUGUUCAACGGCCGCGGUAUUCUAACCGUGCAAAGGUAGCGUAAUCACUUGUCCUUUAAAUGGGGACUGGUAUGAACGGCACCACGAGGGUUGCACUGUCUCCUUUUCCCAAUCAGUGAAACUGAUCUCCCCGUGAAGAAGCGGGGAUAUCAAUAUAAGACGAAAAGACCCUAUGGAGCUUUAAACAAAAUGACAAUCGCCAUCUUUAUCUAACUUCCAGAAUACCUGCCUCUAUUCUAGCGACAUGAUCAUUAGUUUUAGGUUGGGGUGACCACGGAGUAUAAACCAACCUCCGUAUUGAGGGCUUUCCCCCAAGCAAAAAGCCACAACUUUAUGCAUCAAUAAAUUGACAUCAAUUGACCCAAUAUUUUGACCAAUGAACCAAGUUACCCUAGGGAUAACAGCGCAAUCCAUUUCGAAAGCCCCUAUCGACAAAUGGGUUUACGACCUCGAUGUUGGAUCAGGGUAUCCUAGUGGUGCAGUCGCUACUAAAGGUUCGUUUGUUCAACGACUAAGACCCU
Molecule: ribosomal RNA, 564 nt
Filed under: Fritziana sp. SCF-2015
Lineage: Eukaryota; Metazoa; Chordata; Amphibia; Anura; Hemiphractidae
Description: partial 16S ribosomal RNA
Rfam family: Bacterial large subunit ribosomal RNA
Source: RNAcentral